GGUCGAACAGACCUAAUCGUUUAGCGCCUACACCAAACAUUUAUUUUAAUCCAACAUCGAGGUCGCAAUCCUUUCUUUCGAUAAGAACUCUAAAAAAGAUAWCGCUGUUAUCCCUAAGGUAAUUUAUUCUUAUCAUCCUAAAUUAAGGCCCAAAAACACAUAAAUAAAUGAAAAAAUUUUAAAAAAAGUUAACCUAAUUUUUCUGUCACCCCAACAAAAUAGUUUCUUUACUAAGAAAAUUUUAAAUACUUACCUAAACUUAACAAAAAAACUAUAAAACUCUAUAGGGUCUUCUCGUCUUCCAUUCAUAUUUAAGCUUUUUCACUUAAAAAUAAAAUUCAAUUAAAUUUUCACAGAGAGAGUCUUUUUCUCAUCAAACCUUUCAUUCCAGCUUUCAAUUAAAAAACUAAUGAUUAUGUUACCUUUGUACGGUCAAAUUACCGCAGCCAUUUAACACUCAUAGGGCAGGUCAGACUUGAAAUUAUAAUCAACAAGUCAUGUUUU
This 504-nucleotide ribosomal RNA is filed under the name Trigonopterus costipennis. RNAcentral's name for it is "partial 16S ribosomal RNA". Lineage: Eukaryota; Metazoa; Arthropoda; Insecta; Coleoptera; Curculionidae. The record is from RNAcentral.